CGGACCCAUGUCCCAGCCGGCAAAGAUGGCCUCUGCUUGCACGCUAUCGCUUAAGGAGGAGCUUGCGUCCCAUUAGGUAGUUGGUGAGGUAACGGCUCACCAAGCCUGCGAUGGGUAGCCGGCCUGAGAGGGUAACCGGCCACACUGGCACUGAGACACGGGCCAGACUCCUACGGGAGGCAGCAGUGAGGAAUUUUGGGCAAUGGGCGAAAGCCUGACCCAGCGACGCCGCGUGGGUGAUGAAGGCCUUCGGGUCGUAAAACCCUGUGAGAUGGGAAGAAGCCGUUGUGUGCUAAUACCACAUCGCGGUGACAGUACCAUCAGAGGAAGCCCCGGCUAACUACGUGCCAAGCAGCCGCGGUAAAACGU
RNAcentral lists this ribosomal RNA (369 nucleotides) under uncultured bacterium. RNAcentral describes it as "bacterial SSU rRNA". It matches the Rfam family "Bacterial small subunit ribosomal RNA", at positions 183 to 528 of the family's 1533-position model. The record is from RNAcentral.